This 459-nucleotide ribosomal RNA is filed under the name uncultured bacterium. RNAcentral describes it as "partial 16S ribosomal RNA". It matches the Rfam family "Bacterial small subunit ribosomal RNA", at positions 338 to 795 of the family's 1533-position model. The record is from RNAcentral.
CCUACGGGGGGCAGCAGUGAGGAAUAUUGGUCAAUGGUCGGGAGACUGAACCAGCCAAGCCGCGUGAGGGAUGAAGGUACAGAGUAUCGUAAACCUCUUUUGUCAGGGAACAAAGGCGGGGACGUGUCCCCGGCUGAGUGUACCUGAAGAAAAAGCAUCGGCUAACUCCGUGCCAGCAGCCGCGGUAAUACGGAGGAUGCGAGCGUUAUCCGGAUUUAUUGGGUUUAAAGGGUGCGCAGGCGGUCUGUUAAGUCAGCGGUCAAAGCCCGGGGCUCAACCCCGGCCCGCCGUUGAAACUGGCAGUCUCGAGUUGGCGAGAAGUAUGCGGAAUGCGCGGUGUAGCGGUGAAAUGCAUAGAUAUCGCGCAGAACUCCGAUUGCGAAGGCAGCAUGCCGGCUCCACACUGACGCUGAGGCACGAAAGCGUGGGUAUCGAACAGGAUUAGAUACCCUAGUAGUC